AUUGCAAACCCCUAAAGCCUUAGAGCUGCAGAUGCUGCUGGUUCAAGACUUGAAGGGGAAAUUCUGUGCCAAGCAGAGCUCAAGGGUUUGAAUUUAAACUGCAGCCAGCCAGCCCCUGGAGCUGCAUGAAAUGGAAGGGUUUAUGUCCUUGCCUUCCUGGCAGGAAAAUCAUCCCAACUCAGUGCAGCAAAAUGGACUGGGUCCAAUGCUCGUGGAAGGAAUUAAACAGGUAAAGUGUGUUUAACAAGGAAUUUCACAUGGAGGCUUUCAGGUACACUGAAUAUUUCCCCAAGAUGCAUUCUGCUUCACACAGAGGCCUCUUCCUACAAUAUCCUUGGCUUUCCCAAGGAAUCAGUGUCCACAG
Long non-coding RNA from Passer domesticus (house sparrow), 364 nucleotides. RefSeq lists it as uncharacterized. Lineage: Eukaryota; Metazoa; Chordata; Aves; Passeriformes; Passeridae. The transcript is spliced from 3 exons. The record is from RefSeq and is a predicted model, not a curated record.